AAGGGCGGUCGGCUAAUCUCCCGGAAGGGAGGUGAUGCCUUGUGACAGUAUUCGAAGCAAUUUCAUUGAUGCUAACUUUCGGCUUGCUAAUUGUAGCCAUGCUGUCAUUUAACGCAAAGAAAUAGACCGCCCCUCACCAAAGGUAUGCGGUCUAUUUCUGCCUACCGAGCCACCGCUUUUUGUGCGGCUAUUGCUACGGAGAGUCGAGGUGCAAC
This 215-nucleotide small RNA is filed under the name Paenibacillus senegalensis. RNAcentral's name for it is "BsrG". It matches the Rfam family "BsrG", at positions 22 to 248 of the family's 259-position model. Rfam says of the family: bsrE, bsrG and bsrH pair through intermolecular interactions with antisense sRNAs. The record is from RNAcentral. Lineage: Bacteria; Bacillati; Bacillota; Bacilli; Caryophanales; Paenibacillaceae.